CAGAGAGUAGUUUAAUAAGAAUAUUAGCUUUGGGAGCUGGUGAUGGAGGUUUGAGCCCUCUCUCUCUGA
This 69-nucleotide transfer RNA is filed under the name Eurystomus orientalis. RNAcentral's name for it is "tRNA-Pro". It matches the Rfam family "tRNA". Rfam says of the family: Transfer RNA (tRNA) molecules are approximately 80 nucleotides in length. Their secondary structure includes four short double-helical elements and three loops (D, anti-codon, and T loops). Further hydrogen bonds mediate the characteristic L-shaped molecular structure. tRNAs have two regions of fundamental functional importance: the anti-codon, which is responsible for specific mRNA codon recognition, and the 3' end, to which the tRNAs corresponding amino acid is attached (by aminoacyl-tRNA synthetases). tRNAs cope with the degeneracy of the genetic code in two manners: having more than one tRNA (with a specific anti-codon) for a particular amino acid; and 'wobble' base-pairing, i.e. permitting non-standard base-pairing at the 3rd anti-codon position. The record is from RNAcentral. Lineage: Eukaryota; Metazoa; Chordata; Aves; Coraciiformes; Coraciidae.